This is a long non-coding RNA of Humulus lupulus (European hop), 666 nucleotides long. RefSeq lists it as uncharacterized. The record is from RefSeq and is a predicted model, not a curated record. Lineage: Eukaryota; Viridiplantae; Streptophyta; Magnoliopsida; Rosales; Cannabaceae. The transcript has 2 exons.
CGUUAUGGUGGUUGCACGGAUACGCAGUGGCAAAAAGCAAUUGAUUUUUUCCGUCGCCCAGAAAUUACGGUAUUAAUUUCUUGCUAAACUUAACUAUCUUAAUUAAAUAUAUUACUAACGAUAACUUUUUGCAGAAACGUUCUGUGGUCAACAAGGAAAAUAGAAAGAAACUGAAAGAGCUUAGCUAUGGAGGUUCUCAGUCAAUCCCAGCCUUACGCUAUAAAAAGGAGGAAUUGCGUGCAUACCGCGACACACAGCAGACACAGGCAACUGAUACUGAGAGUUCCACACCAGUUUCGAGUGCGCCUGAAGAUGAAGACAUAUCUUUGGUACAAAUGUCUUCGGAAAACGACGGGGCCACCAGAAAGGAUAUGGACGUAUCCUUAACAUAAGGGACCGAACUCCAUUUGAUUUUCGUCCUUCACAAACUAGAGAUGAAGAGUUGUCUGAGAUGAGAGAGCAUCUUCGACAGUUAGAGGAGCAUGUCCGGACUCAUUGUAUCACCCCGGGAUCUCAAUCUGCCCCACCACCACCACCCGAUGAUCCUGAUGUUGGAGCACCGACUCAGUAGGACUUAUGUAUGAAUUUUAUUACAAUUGACUAUUACAUUAUCAUGUUUAAGACAAGUCUUUAUUUUAAUUCAACGAAUACACUCUUAUGUUUUUA